UACGUAGGGCGCAAGCGUUGUCCGGAAUUAUUGGGCGUAAAGAGCUCGUAGGCGGUCUGUCGCGUCCGUUGUGAAAACUCGAGGCUCAACCUCGGGCUUGCAGUGGAUACGGGCAGACUAGAGUGCGGUAGGGGAGACUGGAAUUCCUGGUGUAGCGGUGGAAUGCGCAGAUAUCGGGAGGAACACCAGUAGCGAAGGCGGCACUCUGGGCCGGUACUGACGCUGAGGAGCGAAAGCGUGGGGAGCGAACAGG
This 253-nucleotide ribosomal RNA is filed under the name uncultured bacterium. Its description in RNAcentral is "partial 16S ribosomal RNA". It matches the Rfam family "Bacterial small subunit ribosomal RNA", at positions 524 to 776 of the family's 1533-position model. The record is from RNAcentral.